Molecule: ribosomal RNA, 467 nt
Filed under: uncultured bacterium
Lineage: Bacteria
Description: partial 16S ribosomal RNA
Rfam family: Bacterial small subunit ribosomal RNA
Source: RNAcentral
GACGAACGCUGGCGGCGUGCUUAACACAUGCAAGUCGAACGGAAAGGCCCUGCUUUUGUGGGGUGCUCGAGUGGCGAACGGGUGAGUAACACGUGAGUAACCUGCCCUUGACUUUGGGAUAACUUCAGGAAACUGGGGCUAAUACCGGAUAGGAGCUCCUGCUGCAUGGUGGGGGUUGAAAGUUUCGGCGGUUGGGGAUGGACUCGCGGCUUAUCAGCUUGUUGGUGGGGUAGUGGCUUACCAAGGCUUUGACGGGUAGCCGGCCUGAGAGGGUGACCGGCCACAUUGGGACUGAGAUACGGCCCAGACUCCUACGGGAGGCAGCAGUGGGGAAUAUUGCACAAUGGGCGGAAGCCUGAUGCAGCAACGCCGCGUGCGGGAUGACGGCCUUCGGGUUGUAAACCGCUUUCGCCUGUGACGAAGCGUGAGUGACGGUAAUGGGUAAAGAAGCACCGGCUAACUACGUG